Molecule: ribosomal RNA, 898 nt
Filed under: uncultured archaeon
Lineage: Archaea
Description: bacterial SSU rRNA
Rfam family: Archaeal small subunit ribosomal RNA
Source: RNAcentral
CGGUUGAUCCUGCCGGACCCCACUGCUAUCGGGAUAGGACUAAGACAUGCUAGUCAAGCGCUCGCCAACAAAUUGUGAGUGCGGCGUACAGCUCAGUAGCACGUGGCUAACCUGCCCUUGGGACGGGGACACCCCCGGGAAACUGGGGUUAAUCCCCGAUAGGUGGAGAACUCUGGAAUGAAUCUCCACCCAAAAGGCACUUACGCUAUGCUCGUAGGUGCCGCCCAAGGAUGGGGCCGCGUCCGAUCAGGUUGUUGGUGAGGUAAUGGCUCACCAAGCCUUUUACCGGUGCGGGCCGUGAGAGCGGGAGCCCGGAGAUGGGCACUGAGACAAGGGCCCAGGCCCUACGGGGCGCAGCAGUCGCGAAAACUUUGCAAUACACGAAAGUGUGACAGGGCUAUCCCGAGUGCCAUCCGCUGAGGAAGGCUUUUACCCAGUUUAGAACGCUGGGGGAAUAAGGAGAGGGCAAGACUGGUGUCAGCCGCCGCGGUGAUACCAGCUCUCCGAGUGGUGUGGAUGUUUAUUUGGCCUAAAGCAUCCGUAGCUGGCUGGGCAAGUCCCCUGUUAAAUCCACCGAUUUAAUCGUUGGAAUGCGGGGGAUACUGCUCGGCUAGGGGACGGGAGAGGCAGACGGUAUUUUCGGGGUAGGGGUGAAAUCCUAUAAUCCCGGGAGGACCACCAGUGGCGAAGGCUGUCUGCUAGAACGUGCCCGACGGUGAGGGAUGAAAGCUGGGGGAGCGAACCGGAUUAGAUACCCGGGUAGUCCCAGCUGUAAACGAUGCAGGCUAGGUGUUUGGGCGGCCACGUGCCGCUCUAGUGCCGCAGGGAAGCCGUUAAGCCUGCCGCCUGGGGAGUACGGCCGCAAGGCUGAAACUUAAAGGAAUUGGCGGGGGAGCAC